UACGAGCGGUCCAAACGUUAUUCGGAAUUACUGGGCUUACAGAGUUCGUAGGCGGCUCUACAAGUGAGGUGUGAAAGCCCUCGGCUCAACCGAGGAAUUGCGCUCUAAACUGUCGUGCUCGAGGAACCUAGAGGUGAGCAGAACUGAUGGUGGAGCGGUGAAAUGCGUUGAUAUCUGGAGGAACACCGGUGGCGAAGGCGGCAUCCUGGACCGGUAUUGACGCUGAUGCGCGAAAGCCAGGGGAGCAAACGGG
RNAcentral lists this ribosomal RNA (253 nucleotides) under uncultured bacterium. RNAcentral describes it as "partial 16S ribosomal RNA". It matches the Rfam family "Bacterial small subunit ribosomal RNA", at positions 524 to 776 of the family's 1533-position model. The record is from RNAcentral.